Molecule: ribosomal RNA, 480 nt
Filed under: uncultured bacterium
Lineage: Bacteria
Description: partial 16S ribosomal RNA
Rfam family: Bacterial small subunit ribosomal RNA
Source: RNAcentral
GACGAACGCUGGCGGCGUGCUUAACACAUGCAAGUCGAACGAUGAAGAAAAGAAUCGAAGCUUCGGCAGAAAUUCAUUUCGGAUUAGUGGCAGACGGGUGAGUAACGCGUGAGCAACCUACCUCUUACAAAGGGAUAGCCUCGGGAAACCGGGAUUAAUACCAUAUAACAUUGCGACGAAGCAUUUCGAUGCAAUCAAAGCUACGGCGGUAAGAGAUGGGCUCGCGUCCCAUUAACCGGAUGGUGAGGUAACGGCUCACCAUAGUGACGAUGGGUAACCGGGCUGAGAGGGUGAACGGUCACACUGGAACUGAGACACGGUCCAGACUCCUACGGGAGGCAGCAGUGGGGAAUAUUGCACAAUGGAGGGAACUCUGAUGCAGCGACGCCGCGUGAGUGAUGAAGGAAUUCGUUUCGUAAAACUCUGUUCUAUGGGAAGAAAAGGACUGUACCAUAGGAGAAAGCUCCGGCUAAAUACGUG